GGAGUCGCAGCUCAGGUGAGUAGAGCAUCUGCCUGGCAGGCAGGAAGGCCCCGGAUUCAAUUCCCAGCACCUCCA
This is a non-coding RNA of Podarcis lilfordi (Lilford's wall lizard), 75 nucleotides long. Lineage: Eukaryota; Metazoa; Chordata; Lepidosauria; Squamata; Lacertidae. The record is from the annotation of a GenBank genome assembly.